RNAcentral lists this long non-coding RNA (310 nucleotides) under Salmo salar (Atlantic salmon). Its description in RNAcentral is "lncRNA (ENSSSAG00000107183.1)". Lineage: Eukaryota; Metazoa; Chordata; Actinopteri; Salmoniformes; Salmonidae. The record is from RNAcentral.
GCCUAGUGGGAUUAUUCACAAAAUGAUCUGGUGAUCAGGUUAUGAAAUGUCAUGACAAAGACAUUUUAGUUUCCAUGUUUCACCUGAGAUAUUUAAUAUAUAGUCCUAGGUCUAUGUUAUUGUUGUUAGGUGAAGUUAUGGGUCCGACAGUAGGUCUAUGUUAUUGUUAGGUGAAGUUAUGGGUCCUACAGUAGGUCUAUGUUGUUGUUAGGUGAAGUUAUGGGUCCUACAGUAGGUCUAUGUUGUUGUUAGGUGAUGUUAUGGGUCCUACAGUAGGUCUAUGUUGUUGUUAUGGGUCCUACAGUAGGUC